AUUCCAGCUCCAAUAGCGUAUAUUAAAGUUGUUGCGGUUAAAAAGCUCGUAGUUGGAUUUCUGCUGAGGACGACCGGUCCGCCCUCUGGGUGAGUAUCUGGCUCGGCCUGGGCAUCUUCUUGGAGAGCGUAGCUGCACUUGACUGUGUGGUGCGGUAUCCAGGACUUUUACUUUGAGGAAAUUAGAGUGUUUCAAGCAGGCACACGCCUUGAAUACAUUAGCAUGGAAUAAUAAGAUAGGACCUUGGUUCUAUUUUGUUGGUUUCGAACACCGGAGUAAUGAUUAACAGGGACAGUCAGGGGCACUCGUAUUCCGCCGAGAGAGGUGAAAUUCUCAGACCAGCGGAAGACGAACCACUGCGAAAGCAUUUACCAAGGAUGUUUUCAUCG
This 389-nucleotide ribosomal RNA is filed under the name Thoracosphaeraceae sp. RNAcentral's name for it is "partial small subunit ribosomal RNA". It matches the Rfam family "Eukaryotic small subunit ribosomal RNA", at positions 582 to 975 of the family's 1831-position model. Lineage: Eukaryota; Dinophyceae; Thoracosphaerales; Thoracosphaeraceae. The record is from RNAcentral.